GAUGAACGCUAGCUACAGGCUUAACACAUGCAAGUCGCGGGGCAGCAUGGGGGUUGCUUGCAAUCCCUGAUGGCGACCGGCGCACGGGUGAGUAACGCGUAUCCAACCUGCCCUUCACCACGGGAUAACCCGGCGAAAGUCGGACUAAUACCGUAUGUUGUCCAUUGACGGCAUCCGAUUUGGACGAAAGGCUUAGCGGUGAGGGAUGGGGAUGCGUCCGAUUAGCUUGACGGCGGGGUAACGGCCCACCGUGGCUACGAUCGGUAGGGGUUCUGAGAGGAAGGUCCCCCACACUGGAACUGAGACACGGUCCAGACUCCUACGGGAGGCAGCAGUGAGGAAUAUUGGUCAAUGGGCGUAAGCCUGAACCAGCCAAGUAGCGUGCAGGAUGACGGCCCUAUGGGUUGUAAACUGCUUUUAUGCGGGGAUAAAGGGACCCACGUGUGGGUUUUUGCAGGUACCGCAUGAAUAAAGACCGGCUAAUUCCGU
RNAcentral lists this ribosomal RNA (489 nucleotides) under uncultured bacterium. RNAcentral describes it as "partial 16S ribosomal RNA". It matches the Rfam family "Bacterial small subunit ribosomal RNA", at positions 28 to 506 of the family's 1533-position model. The record is from RNAcentral.